GAUGAACGCUGGCGGCGUGCCUAAUACAUGCAAGUCGUGCGGAAAGGCCACUUCGGUGGUACUCGAGCGGCGGACGGCAGAGUAACGCGUAGGAACAUACCCCAAACUGAGGCAUAACUGCUCGAAAGAGCAGCUAAUACCGCAUGUGAUCUUCGGAUUAAAGCUUCGGCGGUUUGGGAAUGGCCUGCGUCCGAUUAGCUAGUUGGUGAGGUAAAUGCUCACCAAGGCUUCGAUCGGUAGCUGGUCUGAGAGGAUGAUCAGCCUGACUGGAACUGAGAACGGCCCAGACUCCUACGGGAGGCAGCAGUAGGGAAUUUUCCACAAUGGGCGAAAGCCUGAUGGAGCAACGCCGCGUGCAGGAUGAAUGCCUUCGGGUUGUAAACUGCUUUUAUUAGUGAAGAAUAUGACGGUAAC
RNAcentral lists this ribosomal RNA (414 nucleotides) under uncultured bacterium. Its description in RNAcentral is "bacterial SSU rRNA". It matches the Rfam family "Bacterial small subunit ribosomal RNA", at positions 28 to 479 of the family's 1533-position model. The record is from RNAcentral.